This 307-nucleotide long non-coding RNA is filed under the name Oryza brachyantha (malo sina). RNAcentral describes it as "long non-coding RNA (OBRA_LNC003361)". The record is from RNAcentral. Lineage: Eukaryota; Viridiplantae; Streptophyta; Magnoliopsida; Poales; Poaceae.
CCGCCGCUCCCAGCAGCGGCGUCAUCCUCCGCACCUCCCCUCGACGACCCCCUCCCCACCUUCAUCGCCGGGCACCACCACACUAAGAUCCGACCUUUCCUUCCUUGGCUCACCCGAACCACCCAAGAAAGAAUCAACAGCAGCAGCAGCGGCGGCAGCAAGAAACAGUCUCGACGACGAGAGCAGAAGCGGAGGAGGAGGAGGAGGAAGCUGCGAGAUAUACUGGUGCUCGAAAACUAGGGGCAAGGCGGGGGCGCAGCAGCAAAUCCAUGGACAGCGACGUGAAUACCGCCGCUGGGUUUGCGAC